UGCCCCUCACUUGCCAAUACGUCUAGAUCAGCCAGGGCGUCGGCAUGUGUAGCGUAUUAUGUUGGGCUCUCUCGAGAUAAGGAUACGAUGUCCCUUUAUCGGUUGGUUUCCUGUGUGUGCGGCCCGUUCGUUUUUUUGUUACUUUCGCAUCGUUCGGUGCAUUCUGGGGGCUGUGUUGGCUUUUGGUGGCUUGCUUGGCCUUUUGGCUUUGCUUGUUGCUACUUGUCGGGCUGCUUUCGGGAAUGUCGACCGUGGAGGUGCAUGAGUGGUGUUUGGUUUGUUACGUGUGGAUGGCUGUUUGCUUGUGCAACAACGUUCACGCUGCAUACCUCUUCAGUUUUGCGGCAAGGCUUGGUUUGGCUUGUGCAUAUUGUGGGUUUCCUGUGUUGCAUACCUAGUUGAUGGAAAAGUGUGGGUUUUACGAUUUUCAUUUUCGUCUUGCGUCGUUCUUUUGGCGUGGGAUGAACAAUGAAGCGAUCUUUAUGAUCCAUCGUGCUGUUGCGUUUGCAACAAUGAUGUGGCCUAUGAAGCAUCGUUUGGUCUCUUGUAUACGGAAGCUCAUUUGGGCUUGGGUCUUUAUAAGAUCUUCGUUACGCCCUUGUUAAGCGUUCUCGCUUCUCCUAAACGAUUG
Molecule: unclassified non-coding RNA, 631 nt
Filed under: Centaurea amblensis
Lineage: Eukaryota; Viridiplantae; Streptophyta; Magnoliopsida; Asterales; Asteraceae
Also listed under: 1 other name
Description: partial external transcribed spacer
Source: RNAcentral